CAAAGAUUAAGCCAUGCAUGUCUAAGUAUAAACAAAUUUAUACGGUGAAACUGCGAAUGGCUCAUUAAAUCAGUUAUAAUUUAUUUGAUAUUCACUUACUACUUGGAUAACCGUGGUAAUUCUAGAGCUAAUACAUGCGUACAUAACCUCGACUUCUGGAAGAGGUGCACUUAUUAGAUAAAAAGCCAACGCGGGCAACCGCUUGUAUGGUGAUUCAUAAUAAUUAAUCGAAUCGCAUGGCCUUGUGCCGGCGAUGAUGCAUUCAAAUUUCUGCCCUAUCAAGUUUCGAUGGUAGGUUAGUGGCCUACCAUGCUUUUAACGGGUAACGGGGAAUUAGGGUUCGAUUCCGGAGAGGGAGCCUGAGAAACGGCUACCACAUCCAAGGAAGGCAGCAGGCGCGCAAAUUACCCAAUCCCGACACGGGGAGGUAGUGACAAUAAAUAACAAUACAGGGCCUUUACGGGUCUUGUAAUUGGAAUGAGUACAAUUUAAAUCCCUUAACGAGGAACAAUUGGAGGGCAAGUCUGGUGCCAGCAGCCGCGGUAAUUCCAGCUCCAAUAGCGUAUAUUAAAGUUGUUGCAGUUAAAAAGCUCGUAGUUGAAUUUUGGCCUUGGUUUGUGAGGUUCGGCCUUCACUGGUCGGUACCUUUACGAACCGGGCUCCACCUUCUGGGUUAGCCAGUUGUUACUUCGGUGCAGCUGGUGAACCAGAACUUUUACUUUGAAAAAAUUGGAGUGUUUAAAGCAGGCUUUCAAGCUUGAACAUAUUAGCAUGGAAUAAUGAAAUAGGACUUUGGCCUUAUUUCGUUGGUUUCUAAAGCCAAAGUAAUGAUGAAUAGGGAUAGUUGGGGACAUUAGUAUUCAAUUGUCAGAGGUGAAAUUCUUGGAUUUAUUGAAGACUAACUUCUGCGAAAGCAUUUGUCAAGGAUGUUUUCAUUAAUCAAGAACGAAAGUUAGGGGAUCGAAGACGAUCAGAUACCGUCGUAGUCUUAACCAUAAACUAUGCCGACUAAGGAUCGGAUGGUGUUAUAUUUUAUAUUGACCCAUUCGGCAUUUCAGCGAAAGCCAAGUUUUUGGGUUCCGGGGGGAGUAUGGUCGCAAGGCUGAAACUUAAAGG
RNAcentral lists this ribosomal RNA (1116 nucleotides) under Umbelopsis nana. Its description in RNAcentral is "SSU rRNA". It matches the Rfam family "Eukaryotic small subunit ribosomal RNA", at positions 38 to 1150 of the family's 1831-position model. RNAcentral also lists the same sequence under 2 other names. The record is from RNAcentral. Lineage: Eukaryota; Fungi; Mucoromycota; Umbelopsidomycetes; Umbelopsidales; Umbelopsidaceae.